CGCGUGGGAAUAUGCCCUUAGGUGGGGGAUAGCCCGGGGAAACUCGGAUUAAUACCGCAUAAUAUCUACGGAUCAAAGGAGGCCUCUUCUUGAAAGCUUUCGCCGAAGGAUUAGCCCGCGUUAGAUUAGCUUGUUGGUGAGGUAAUGGCUCACCAAGGCGACGAUCUAUAGCUGGUCUGAGAGGAUGAUCAGCCACACUGGAACUGAGACACGGUCCAGACUCCUACGGGAGGCAGCAGUGGGGAAUAUUGCACAAUGGGCGAAAGCCUGAUGCAGCCAUGCCGCGUGUGUGAAGAAGGC
Molecule: ribosomal RNA, 300 nt
Filed under: uncultured Gammaproteobacteria bacterium
Lineage: Bacteria; Pseudomonadati; Pseudomonadota; Gammaproteobacteria
Description: bacterial SSU rRNA
Rfam family: Bacterial small subunit ribosomal RNA
Source: RNAcentral